CAGGCAGUUCCGGCCAAGGGGGAGACCAGGCAGGACUGCUGUGUGAAGACCGAGCUGCUGGGAGAGGAAGAGCUCUCUAUGGCUGCCGAUGAGGGCUCCCCUGAGAAGCCGGGAGAAGAUGCCUACGUGGCUGCAGACGGGGCCACCAACGGGUCCUGUGAAAGGAGUGAUACCGGCAGGCAUGUCACCCCAGCUGAGCACACUCAGGACAAUGCAAACGCCAGCCCCCAGGAAGGUCCCAAUAAACUGACCCGGAUCGCGGAGAACGGGGUUUCAGAAAGAGACGCGGACGUGGGGAAGCAGAACCACGACCCGGCUGACGACCUCACGCAGACGGCCGUCAUCGGGAGCAACGGGUACUUCCUGAGUAAACCAGCCCUGCAGGAGCCGGCCCUGCGGGUCCCCAGCACCUUGGCACCCUCCCUUCCCGGCCAUGCUGCGAAGACUCUCCCAGGAGCGGCUGGCAAAGGGCGGACUCCCAGUGUGCUCUCUCAGACGCCAGCCGCCGCGCCAGCCAGGCCCGGGGAAGGGAGCAAAGACUCAGAGGACAAGAAGCCCGCGGCCCUGGGCGCAGAUGUCAAGGUUCAUAGGGCUCGGAAGACCAUGCCGAAGUCCGUCCUGGGCCUGCCCGCAGCCAGCAAGGACCCCCGAGAAGCUCGAGGUCAUGAGGAGCCCGCAGAGGAGAUCAGCAAGGACGUUUCUGAUUUUGGACGACAGCAGCUUUUGCCCCCCUUCCCACCCCUUCAUCAGUCGCUACCUCAGAACCAGUGCUACGUGGCCCCCACGAAGUCACAGACAGCUUCCUUGCCUUUUGUUUUAGCAGCUGCAGUGUCUCGAAAGAAAAAACGAAGAAUGGGAACCUAUAGUCUGGUUCCCAGGAAAAAGACCAAAGUAUUAAAACAGAGGACGGUGAUUGAGAUGUUUAAGAGCAUAACUCACUCCACUGCCGGCUCCAAGAGCGAGAAGGACCUGGGCGACAGCACCCUCCACGUGAACGGGGAGAGCAUGGAGAUGGACUCGGAGGAGGAGGACUCCGAGGAGCUGGACGAGGAGGAGGACCAGGGCUCCGAGCAGGCUGCCGCCUUUCCCACGGACGACAGCAGGACUUCCAAAGAGAGUGUGUCGGGGAGUGACCGCACCCAGAAGAUGGAUGGCGAGUCUGAGGAGGAGGAGUCGGCCGGCACCGGGGAGGAGGAGGAGGACGGAGACGAGUCCGACCUGAGCUCCGAGUCCAGCAUCAGGAAGAAGUUCCUCCGGAGGAAAGGGAAGCCUGACAGCCCCUGGGUCAAGCCGGCCAGGAAGCGGAGGCGGAGAAGCAAGAGGAAGCCCUGCAGCGCGCUGGGUCCUGAGGCGUACACAUCUUCUUCGGGGAGCGCAGAGCCGGUGGCCCCGGGGGACAGUGCGGGGUACAUGGAAGUGUCUCUGGACUCCCUGGAUCUCCGUGUCAAGGGAACGCUGCCCUCGCCAGCAGGGCUGGCUAACGGUCCCGACACGGGGGAGACGGACGGCCUCCAGGAAGUGCCCCUCUGCAGCUGCCGGAUGGAGACCCCGAAAAGCCGAGAGAUCACCACUCUGGCCAACAACCAGUGCAUGGCCCUGGAGAGCGUGGACCACGAGGUGCAGACGUGGAUGGGCCGGCGGCCGGCGAGCCUCCAGCACCCGUCACUCAGCCUGUCCACAGACCCACCCGCCCUCUCCCAGGACUUUCCUCCGUGACAGAGGCACUCACACGCCUGGCCCCGCCUAACCCUAACCGCCUCUGCCAUCUGCAGCCCGACUCGUCGCCCUCGGCCCUCAUCCUGGCUGUGAGCUGGCAUUCCAGUGCAGACCCACAUACCACUAAAUAUUUCAGGAUGCGUCUCCCUAAAAAAAGGACAUUUCUCAUGUAACAGAAAUAGUGACUUCCUGUUACAUAAUGCCCAGUUCAGAGUCAGAUGUGUCUGUGAAAAACCGUCCUCUUACAGUUUUUCCCCAAAGUCCUCCUGUGGCAUUUGCUGUGUGUGUCCUGUGUUUCUGCCUCUUUUCACCCAAACACUCUCGCCGCCGCUCCUCUCUUGUCCACGCUGCUGGGCGACCUGGACCCACCUGGACGCUGGGGCUGAGGCUUCCCAUCUGUCACAUCGGGUCCUCAUCCCGUGGCCCGAGCGCUCGAGGUUCAGGCGCCACGCUUCAGCUCUGUCCAUUUCCUGCUGCCCAGAAUGCUCUGGAGCAGGUCUGUGUGGCGGCCGGUGGCCCCGCCUUUAGUCCUCAGCCUUCCCGUGUCCUCGGGCACUGCCAUUCCUCCCGCAGUCCCGGCUGGGACUCUGGCACAGAAGACUUCCCCUCUGCUGGCCCUGAGGACACCCCCUACGGCACACAGCAUCACAGCUGCUGCUCGGCCUCUUCAUUUUCCAAGCAAAGAGCUGGUGCCCAGCGACCUCUGCAGCCCGCCCGUUCCUCGGCUCCUUUGUGGACGGUGCUGACUGGCUGUUUCUCUGAUGUCUGUGUUAGUUCUUUGUGGGGGUGGCUGGCCGUGAGGGUUCUGUUAUUCGGGUGGUUUUACAGGAAGGCUUGUCUUCUCCUCCAGUGUCUCACACCAUCUCGAGUGUUUCGUUCGUUUCCCAGUCCUUCGGGCAAUGUGUUCCAUCCUCUCCUGAGGUUGACCAGUUCUCCCUUUCAAACAUCAUUGUGGACUGAAUAUAUAUGGAUAUGUAUUUCUUAAUUUUUUAUGUUUUUAUUGGUUUUAGAGAGAGAUGAAGGGAGAGAAAUAGAAACUAAUGAGAGAGAAACAUCGAUCAGCUGCCUCCUGCACGCCCCCUCCUGGGGAUCGAGCACCCAACCCAGGCCUGUGCCCUGAUGGGAAUUGAACCAGUGACCUCCUGGUUCAUAGGCCGACGCUCAAUCACUUAGCCACACCGGCCGGGCUACAUGAAUAUAUUUGGGGUUUCAUUUUUGUGUUUCAUUCUUAUUGGUGCUCAAACAGUCCCAUCUUUGGCUCACAUGCCCUCUCCACGUGGGACCUUUCCUGGGGUCAUGACUGUCCUCGCGAUGCUGAGAGGUUCCGUGCCUUUCACUGCUUCUCUCAAAGGGCCCGGAGCAUUUCCUAGGUGUGAAGGUCCAUGUGACUCUGGAAUCAGUCGUUUCCAUGGUGUUGCAGAACCAUUAAGAGCGCAAGACACCCGUGGACUUCACAGGAGCCACUCUGAAACUGGAAGAUGGUGGAGAUUUUCAAGUGCAACCAGUCCUUUUUUUUUGUUUGUUUAAUUAAUCCUCACCUAGGAUAUUUUUCCAUUGAUUUUCAGAGUGGAAGAGGGAAGGAAAGACAGAAAUAUCAAUGUGAGAGAAAUACAUCAAUUGGUUGCCUCCUGCACACACCUGACCAGGGGCCGGGGAGGAGCCUACAACUGAGGUAUAUGCCCUUGACUGGAAUCAAACCUGGGACCCUUUGGUCCACAGACCGACACUCUCUCCACUGAGCCAAACAGGCUAGGAUACAACCAAUCUUCUAAGAAAUGACUAUGUUCCUUUUUUCUUUUUUAAUUAAUUUUUUUUAACCACCAGUUUAUUCAACACAACAAUCCCUCCAGCUUUACUGAGGUGGUUGACCAUGUCCAUGACUAAGUCUGCCUCUCAACUGGAAGUCAGGGUUUAAUUCCCGGUCAGGGCACAGGCCUGGGUUGUGGGCUCGAUCCCAGUGUGGGGCGUGCAGGAGGCAGCCGAUCAGUGAUUCUCUCUCGUCAUUGAUGUUUCUAUCUCUCCUCUGAAAUCAAUAAAAUUAUAUUAAAAAAAUUUUUGCUAUUUUGGAAAUAAGUUUUUUAUGUUAGCAUAUGAUAGAUAUAUUGCUAUUUUAAAAUAAAUUAUUACUUAAAAAAUUUUAAUUUUCAAGAACCAAGAUCAUGGUGUAGGUAAACACCUGUACUUACCACCUCUCACAACUACAUCAAAAUUACAACUAAAAUACAGAACAAUUAUCACUCAGAACCACCUGAAAGCUGGCUGAAUGCAAGUCCUACAACUAGAGAAAUAAAGAAGAAAGCACAUGGAGACUGGUAGGAGGGAUGAGGCGCGGAAAGGGCUGGUCUGAAACCCACCUGUGUUGGUUGUUGUUUUUUUUUAAUUGGGAGGGAGAUAGUCUCUGAGCAGUUUUUCCAUAUGAAUGGCCUGUCCUGGCUCAGGCUUCAGACUUUGCUAAAAUCUCUCAAACAAGCUGCUUCUGGGUCAGCAUGCCCCAAACCCAUCAAUUAAAGGCUUAAGCCCCGGCACUAGCACCAGCCUGCCUUGCUUCACAGCUGGGCCUCAUUUGGGCACCUCCAGGACAAAUACAAAUAGGAGGAAUCUGCAGAUCUCUCUGUAGCUCCUGCUAAGUGGCCCCAGGCAGUGGCUGACUUUGCACCACCCGGGAUGCCCUAGAGCCAGUGCACCAGCAUGACAGCUUUAGACUAUACCAGAUUUACAACUCUGCACACCCACAAGCCACCCACAAGGGGCAGACUCAGCACCAAAGCCCCACUGCUCCAUAUGAAGCCAGUCCUGCUCCAUAGGGGUGUCUCCUGCACAGCAGCUCUCCCAUUGUAGUUGCAGCUGGUCCUCACAGCCAAUUGGCCUGGAGGUCAACUCCUCCCAAUGACUCCAACAGCAAUCAAGGCUCAGCUAAGAGACUGUGCACACAGCCCACACAGGCUGAGCCACCGGGCCUACAGGACACAUACUACACAAGACCACUCUGCCACCUCCAGGACACAUAGCAUCUCUACGUGAUACUUAGAAACAAACACGGGAGCAGCCAAAAUGCAGAGACAAACAUGUCACAAAUGAAAGAAAUGGAAGCAAGCAAACAACGGGAUACAGAGUUCAAAACCGUGGUUACUGGAUUACUCAUGGAUCUCAGAAUGCCCAAGGUAUGAAACAGGACCAGUCAGAAACGAAGCACACACUGACUGAAAUAAGUAAUAACCUACAGGGAUUCAACAGUAGAGUAGAGGAUUCUGAAAAUCAGAUCAAUGAUUUGGAAUAUGAGGAAGCAAAAAAUACCCAAUCAGAAGAACAAAAGAAAAAAGAUUAAAGAAAUGUGAAGAUAGUGUAAGGAGCCCCUGGGACAACUUCAAGCGAACCA
Molecule: RNA transcript, 5092 nt
Organism: Myotis daubentonii (Daubenton's bat)
Lineage: Eukaryota; Metazoa; Chordata; Mammalia; Chiroptera; Vespertilionidae
Gene: EHMT1
Gene name: euchromatic histone lysine methyltransferase 1
Exons: 11
Source: RefSeq, a predicted model, not a curated record